AUAAAUAGAAAUUCCAUUUAUAGAAACGUGAUAGAUUACAAUUCUUUCAAACCCCAAUUCCAGUGUGUUUCUUUUUUGGUCUAAAAAUGAAAAGAAACACAAAAUAAAAGAAACACAACAUGAAAGAUACAUAAUUAAUGAAUGUUCACAGAAAAAAAACUCAAUUCAGACCUUAAAGCUCCAAUGACACCAUCUACCAAAGUAAAAACAAAGCAAAAGUAUAACCUUAAUAUUGUAAUCACCCCUAUCCAUCACCUGCUGCAACAGAGCAAGUAUGUUCCUGAAGUCUGCAUAUGUAUCUCCAAUUCUAUCAUCAUACUUUCAAUUUACUUAUUUUAUGAGUCUGCAAAACAAUAAGAAAAUUGUGUCAACUUGGCAAAUAUUUGUACAAUUUGGGUGUUUUAAGCUAAUUACCGGUUAAAAUUCGGUGGAUUAGCAAUAUUUGUCAACAUUUAAUGGCUAAAAGUAUAUGAAAUAUCAAUACAUAAUUAAUUUUAUAAACGUUAAAACAUUCAAUUGUGAACUUAUGAACACAAUUCACUUUAGCAAAAAUUCAAUAAGCAAUGUGUUAAAAACAUUCUAAGCAUACUUUAUUGAUAGUUAACUAACCAACUAUAAUAAAUCUAAUAUUAGUGUCAAAGAUAAUAAUCAAUUUCUUUAAGCACACGGCCAAACUUAAACAACCCCUUUAAUAUAUAAUCAAAAAUUACUUACUGGUUGCAUUUUGUUGGGCCAAUUGUGGUCUGAUUUUCCCCUGGUGUAUCCUUUGUUGAGAGAGAGCAAGAGACCCAUUUGCCUUGAUUUGAGAAUUCCAAUUGUAGGGCUGAUGAUGUUCAUACCCAUUUGCAUUCCUUGCAGUGAUUGAAGAUACAAAUAUGACUAUUCAUCACAUGUAUUUGAUUAUCCCAAACACAUUCGUUACAUGUAAUUUGCCAAUUAGACUAUAAUUAACUAAUUGAAAGAGAUACCUGAAUGAAAUUGGUGUAGAGUAGUAGAAGUAUCCUGCAUGAAUAAUUAUAACAAAUAACAUUAAUUAGAAAUGUGAACUAACAUGAACUGUGCUGAUAUCAUCUGCUGUUAUGCCUUUAAGCAAGCUUCUUGUCAGCUUCGUUGAAUAUAUAAGUAAAAUUAGACUAUACUUAAGUAUUCUAAAUCUUUUAGUUGUUCUAGAUGAUGAAAAACAAAAACCAUUCGGUUGAACUAUAACCUUGAACCAAUAAAAAAUGCCAACAAAUAAAUACGGAAUAAAGAACCUUGAUGAAUGUAAUUUCUCUAAGUUGUUUCUCCGGACAAAUAUAUUCCAUUUUCCGAACGGCAGACUAAGCAAUUUCCCCUCUAAUCAUACUCAAACUCAAACUCUUAAAUGCUCGGAAAGCCAAAAUGUUGAUUUGAUUUCACGAAAAUUUGCAUAUGAGUUUAUUUCAGGAACGGUCGAUUAGCGUUCCAACCAAUUGAUUCGGGUAACUGCGUAUGCUGACCGUUACAGAAAGUCUGAAACGUGUAUAACUCAGGUAACCAAUGAUUGCUGCUUUGGCAAGGCCUGCAACACAAAACCAACAAAAUUAAAAUAUUUUUCAUUAAGAAAGAAAAAAGAAGAAAUUAUUGGUAGAGUAUUCAAGUACUUUAUUACACAUGUAAU
RNAcentral lists this long non-coding RNA (1639 nucleotides) under Lactuca sativa (garden lettuce). Its description in RNAcentral is "long non-coding RNA (LSAT_LNC002005)". The record is from RNAcentral. Lineage: Eukaryota; Viridiplantae; Streptophyta; Magnoliopsida; Asterales; Asteraceae.